UACGAAGGGUGCAAACGUUGCUCGGAAUCAUUGGGCGUAAAGCGCACGUAGGCGGCUUCGUAAGUCGGAUGUGAAAUACCUAGGCUCAACCAAGGACGUGCAUCCGAAACUGCGAGGCUUGAGUACAGAAGAGGAUCGCGGAAUUCCCGGUGUAGAGGUGAAAUUCGUAGAUAUCGGGAGGAACACCAGUGGCGAAGGCGGCGAUCUGGGCUGAUACUGACGCUGAGGUGCGAAAGCGUGGGGAGCAAACAGG
This 253-nucleotide ribosomal RNA is filed under the name uncultured bacterium. RNAcentral describes it as "partial 16S ribosomal RNA". It matches the Rfam family "Bacterial small subunit ribosomal RNA", at positions 524 to 776 of the family's 1533-position model. The record is from RNAcentral.